This 801-nucleotide ribosomal RNA is filed under the name uncultured bacterium. RNAcentral's name for it is "bacterial SSU rRNA". It matches the Rfam family "Bacterial small subunit ribosomal RNA", at positions 69 to 849 of the family's 1533-position model. The record is from RNAcentral.
AGAACCGGGGGCAACUCCGGGAGUAAAGCGGCGAAAGGGUGAGGAAAUUAUCGACAAUCUACCCUGGGGACCGGGACAACGGCUGGAAACGGCCGCUAAUACCGGAUGGCCUCACGACGGGGCAUCCUGUUGUGAGUAAAGGUGGGGACCUUCGGGCCUUCCACCCCAGGAGGAGUCGAUGACCUAUCAGCUAGUUGGCGGGGUAAUGGCCCACCAAGGCGACGACGGGUAGCCGGACUGAGAGGUUGGCCGGUCACACUGGGACUGAGACACUGCCCAGACUCCUACGGGAGGCUGCAGUCGCGAAUCUUCCGCAAUGGGCGAAAGCCUGACGGAGCGACGCCGCGUGUGGGAUGAAGGCCUUCGGGUUGUAAACCACUGUCACGCGUUAUGAACACCGGGGAGACAACAUCAAUCCGGAUGACAAAGGCGCGAGAGGAAGCCACGGCUAACUCUGUGCCAGCAGCCGCGGUAAGACAGAGGUGGCAAGCGUUGCUCGGAGUUACUGGGCUUAAAGGGCGCGUAGGCGGUCGUGCACGUCGGUGGUGAAAUCCCCGGGCUCAACCCGGGAACUGCCUUCGAUACGGCGCGACUCGAGUGUGGGAGGGGAGAGUGGAACUCCUGGUGGAGCGGUGAAAUGCGUAGAUAUCAGGAGGAACGCCGGUGGCGAAAGCGACUCUCUGGACCACAACUGACGCUGAGGCGCGAAAGCCAGGGGAGCAAACGGGAUUAGAUACCCCGGUAGUCCUGGCCCUAAACGAUGAGCACUAUGUAGUGGCAAGUCCGACUUGUCACUGCUGA